RNAcentral lists this long non-coding RNA (576 nucleotides) under Pongo abelii (Sumatran orangutan). Its description in RNAcentral is "lincRNA". Lineage: Eukaryota; Metazoa; Chordata; Mammalia; Primates; Hominidae. The record is from RNAcentral.
GCCAUCCUCGCCCCUGUGGCGGAAAUGGGAGGCUGCCUGGAGGAGAGGAGGGAUUGGAUUUACACCCUCUUUUCCCUCCGAAGCGUCCUUGGUGGGGGCGAAGAAAGACCAUCCAACCCUGCCAAAGGCAAAAGGAUUAAAGAUAAAUGAAAGCAAGAUAAUGUAGAAGAACUACUUCGCUGCUGGAUUUUUAGAGAUGAGUGAUUUUUUUUUUUGUAGGGAGAAAUUAUGAAACACAUUGAAAUGGACAAAAAAUUACUGAAUGUCUUCAAUGAAAAAACGGUCAUAGUUUGGCACACCGUCCCGGGCACUCUGUUGCUAGAGGGGCUGUCUGCUUUUCUUUGUGGUGCUCUGCACAACUCUGCAGUUGCGGUUUUCCUGCCCUUGGGCCGUGCAAUUAUGUUGUCCAGGCCCGCUGCCAGUGGACAGUAGGAAGGAAGAUGUGUUGUCCACCCCACUGCCACUGGACCACUUCUAUACAUAGCUGGUCCUUCUGUCCAGCCAGCUGGCACUGGACUGUUUCCCCUCUGUCACCACCGGACUGUAAGCUCCUAAUACAAACCCAUGUCUCAUUUA